GCAAGUCGACCGAUGUAGCUCCAGCUUGCUGGGGUGGAUUAGUGGCGAACGGGUGAGUAACACGUGAGUAACCUGCCCUUGACUCUGGGAUAAGCCUUGGAAACGGGGUCUAAUACCGGAUAGGAGCAUUCACCGCAUGGGGGGUGUUGGAAAGAAUUGCGGUCUUGGAGGGACUCGCGGCCCAUCAGCUAGUUGGUGGGGUAAUGGCUCACCAAGGCGACGACGGGUAGCCGGCCUGAGAGGGUGACC
RNAcentral lists this ribosomal RNA (249 nucleotides) under uncultured bacterium. Its description in RNAcentral is "partial 16S ribosomal RNA". It matches the Rfam family "Bacterial small subunit ribosomal RNA", at positions 57 to 305 of the family's 1533-position model. The record is from RNAcentral.